UUGAAUACGUCCCUGCCCUUUGUAAACCGCCCGUCGCUGCCCGGGACUGAGCCAUUUCGAGAAAUUUGGGGACCGUUGAUUUAAUUUUUCUAAAUUACUUUGAUGGAAGCCAAUUUAAUCGCAGUGGCUUGAACCGGGCAAAAGUCGUAACAAGGUAGCUGUAGGUGAACCUGCUGCUGGAUCAUU
Molecule: ribosomal RNA, 186 nt
Filed under: Meloidogyne incognita (southern root-knot nematode)
Lineage: Eukaryota; Metazoa; Nematoda; Chromadorea; Rhabditida; Meloidogynidae
Description: partial 18S ribosomal RNA
Rfam family: Eukaryotic small subunit ribosomal RNA
Source: RNAcentral